This 405-nucleotide ribosomal RNA is filed under the name uncultured bacterium. RNAcentral's name for it is "partial 16S ribosomal RNA". It matches the Rfam family "Bacterial small subunit ribosomal RNA", at positions 28 to 526 of the family's 1533-position model. The record is from RNAcentral.
GAUGAACGCUGGCGGCGUGCCUAAUACAUGCAAGUCGAGCGAAGCGGGGACGGGUGAGUAACACGUGGAUAACCUCCUAUAAGACUGGGAUAACUUCGUGAAACCGGUGCUAAACCGGAAUCUUAUAUAUGGACUCGCGCUGCAUUAGCUAGUUGGUAAGGUAACGGCUUAGCAAGGCAACGAUGCAUAGCCGACCUGAGAGGAUGGUCGGCCACGCUGAGACUGAGACACAGUCCGGACUCCUACGGGAGGCAGCAGUAGGGAAUCUUCCGCAAUGGGCGAAAGCCUGACGGAGCGACGCCGCGUGAGUGAUGAAGGUCUUCGGAGCGUGAAACUCUGUUAUUAGGGAAGCGGUACCUAGUCAAAAAGCCACGGCUAACUGCGUGCCAGCAGCCGCAGUAAUAC